RNAcentral lists this ribosomal RNA (1489 nucleotides) under metagenome. RNAcentral describes it as "bacterial SSU rRNA". It matches the Rfam family "Bacterial small subunit ribosomal RNA". The record is from RNAcentral.
AGGGUUUGAUCCUGGCUCAGAACGAACGCUGGCGGCGUGGCUAAGACAUGCAAGUCGAACGGACUCGUUAAUUUAUUAGCGAGUCAGUGGCGAAAGGGUGAGUAAUGAAUAGGUAACGUACCCCGAGCUCUGGGAUAGCCAUCCGAAAGGAUGGGUAAUACCGGAUAACCUCACGAGUCGAUGGGCUCGUGAGCAAAGAUUCAUCGGCGCGGGAGCGGCCUAUUUCCUAUCAGCUAGUUGGCGAGGUAACGGCCCACCAAGGCGAAGACGGGUAGCGGGACUGAGAGGUUGGCCCGCCACAUCGGAACUGAGACACUGUCCGGACCCCCACGGGGGGCUGCAGUAACGAAUCUUGGGCAAUGGGCGAAAGCCUGACCCAGCGACGCCGCGUGCGGGAGGAAGUCCUUCGGGAUGUAAACCGCUGUCAGGGGUAAGAAAGUCCACUUCGGUGGAUUGAUCCAACCCAGAGGAAGUCACGGCUAACUCUGUGCCAGCAGCCGCGGUAAGACAGAGGUGGCUAGCGUUGUUCGGUAUCACUGGGCGCGUGUGUAGGCGGGAGCGUAAGCAUUUUGUGAAAUCCCCCGGCUCAACCGGGGCAUUGCUUGAUGUACUGCGUUCCUUGAGGCAAGUAGGGGUGCGAGGAACUCUUGGUGGAGCGGUGGAAUGCGUAGAUAUCAAGAGAACGCCGAUGGUGAAGACAUCGCACUAGGCUUGUCCUGACGCUGAGACACGAAAGCGUGGGGAGCGAACGGGAUUAGAUACCCCGGUAGUCCACGCCGUAAACGAUGCCUACUAGAUUGUGGCGGUUCUGACGCCGGCACAGUCGAAGCCAAAGUGUUAAGUAGGCCGCCUGGGGAGUACGGUCGCAAGGCUAAAACUCAAAGGAAUUGACGGGGGCUCACACAAGCGGUGGAGCAUGUGGAUUAAUUCGAAUCAACGCGCAGAACCUUACCUGGGUUUGACAUGCUUGGAUGCCUUUCUGGAAACAGAGUAGGCUACCCUUCGGGGUGAAACUUGCACAGGUGCUGCAUGGCUGUCGUCAGCUCGUGUCGUGAGAUGUCGGGUUAAGUCCCUUAACGAGCGAAACCCUUACCGUUAGUUACCAGCGGGUCAUGCCGGGAACUCUAGCGGGACUGCCGGUGUUAAACCGGAGGAAGGCGGGGAUGACGUCAAGUCAUCAUGGCCUUUAUGCCCAGGGCCUCACACGUGCUACAAUGGUCGGUACAAAGCGACGCGAGACCGCAAGGUGGAGCAAAUCGCAAAAAACCGGCCCCAGUUCGGAUUGUAGGCUGGCAACUCGCCUGCAUGAAGUUGGAAUCGCUAGUAAUCGCGGAUCAGCUAUGCCGCGGUGAAUGUGUUCCUGAGCCUUGUACACGCCGCCCGUCAAGUGAUGGGAGUUGGAAGUACCCGAAGUCGGGUUGCUAACCUCGCAAGAGGAGGCGCCUGCCGACGGUAAGUCCGACGACUGGCACUAAGUCGUAACAAGGUA